Molecule: long non-coding RNA, 758 nt
Filed under: Panicum hallii
Lineage: Eukaryota; Viridiplantae; Streptophyta; Magnoliopsida; Poales; Poaceae
Description: long non-coding RNA (PHAL_LNC000744)
Source: RNAcentral
CUCCCCGCCUUCCGUUUUGGCCGGAGGCGUUGAUGGUGCUGCCGCAGGUGGCUUUCGCGGCGGCCGCGGCUGUGGAUCUGGCAACGGGCUGCUCGUUGUUCAAGAAGCUGGACACGAUGUAGCCAUGGUCGCCUGCGCCGCGGCGUUUGCGUGGGCCUCCAGCGUGCGCAACAGGAUCGGCCAGAUAUUCACGCUGGGGGCAACGCCUUCGUCAACUCCUGAUCGACAUAUCGUCGCGGCGCUCUUCUCUGAGAGCGAGCUCCAGGACAUGGAACAAGCAAUUACAGAUGGAUCAAGCUGUUGAGAUCCGAGCAUUUCGCAAGCUUCGUCGUCGCUGCGCAACGGCAAGGAUUUUUUUCUGAAUUUCUUUGUGCAAACAUGGAUCAUGGAUCCCAGAUCGACAGAUGUGGAUCAUUCAGAGUCCCAAACAACUGACAGCUCUAGCACACGGUCCUGCUACGGUGUUGUCUGAUCUGAAAUAUGCAGCCCGCGCAGGAACACAAGCAGAAUGUCUUUCUGUAGCAAGGCAGUCCUGCAAGGUUCUUAAAUGUGUAGAUGUCUUCAGAGAAAUAGUGCACCGGGGAGGAUCAGCCCCUUAACUGUACCUACUACUGGACUUACUGAAAUUGUAAUUAUAGACUGGAGCAUGUAAGCAAGACCAUGUAUUUUCUUCAGGAGUCCAAUCUGUUGUGCUGACUCUUGAGAUUAUACUACAUGGAGUGGGGACAAAUCUACACACCGUGCUUCUUAUGUGUCCC